Molecule: ribosomal RNA, 253 nt
Filed under: uncultured bacterium
Lineage: Bacteria
Description: partial 16S ribosomal RNA
Rfam family: Bacterial small subunit ribosomal RNA
Source: RNAcentral
AACGUAGGAGACAAACGUUAUCCGGAGUUACUGGGCGUAAAGGGCGUGUAGGUGGUUUCGUAAGUCUGGCGUGAAAUAUCUCGGCUUAACCGAGGCAGGUCGUCGGAUACUGCGGGACUAGAGGACGGUAGAGGCGUGUGGAAUUCCGGGUGUAGUGGUGAAAUGCGUAGAGAUCCGGAGGAACACCAGUGGCGAAGGCGACACGCUGGGCCGUACCUGACACUGAUGCGCGACAGCGUGGGGAGCAAACAGG